UGAGGUUGUCAGAGAUGGCAUCAUCAUAGACAAGUUCUAGAGCAUACCUGUACCUGGGCUGACAGGUGCAAUGUAAUUACUUAGAUAUGCUACAUUGAAAUCUGUUGUGCUAUCGGAUCGGCCUAACCAACUGUGUUGCUGAAAACUUCCAUCCAUGACUUUUUCUAUAUCUUGACAAUCUGUGCUUGUUUUGCUGUCAUCCUGAUUCUUCCACCAGACCAGAAAGGGUGACCGGACCAGGGCGCCAUGUUGUAUCCAGUUUUUAGUUUUGAAUUCCUCUUGAUCUUUGGGUGUGAUGUGGCCUGUAAACGCCAUCAAGUUUGGAUGCAGGUGGCAAUGCAGGAAAUGGGGAGAAAAAUAGAUUAUGGGUGUGAUUUUUUGCUUGUUUUCUGGCGGAGGGCUUCAUCGGCCUCAAACAGUGCUUGUGCUUUAGUCUGUACUCUACUCCCUCCGUCCCAUAAUAUAAGAGCUACUAGUGUAAAAAACGCUCUUAUAUUAUGGGACGGAGGGAGUACACUUUUGCUUGUUAUCUGAUUGAUUGAUGCUUUGCACAACACAUUGUACCCUUGUCCGUUUUGUUUGUUGCUUUUUGGCCCGGUAGAUGACUUUGUUAAUUCAAAGUUGGUUGUUGGUCGUUGUAAUUUUAUUUUGGGCGGUACAUGACUUUAUUCAUUCAAAGGUGGAUCUUGAGCCUUAGUUCUAGUAGAAAAUAAAACAAACAAAUGCAUAUUACAACAGAUAAUCAACGCAGAACACUAUGAACUGCCUAAACCUAGAGCUUGCAAACAGGAAAUUGCCGAAAUGCACACCGACGCACAACCAUUAUGAUUUGCAUAUUGGAUAUUUGCAAAGCUUAGAAAAACACUCCCCUCUCUUUUCGCCGCCUCCUGCUACCCACCCAUCACCUAUACCGAUGCUAGAUCGAGGCCGCCGCUUCUCUUUCUCCCAAGUGAUAGGAACAGAGAUCAACUUGAGCGCAAACAAACAAGAUAAUCAAGAGAACAGGGGAAGCAGAGGAGUGAUUGGGUUUCAGAUAGCCCGAAUCAUGUCGCACAUACAAGUUCUCUUGGACCGAUCUAAUCUACCAAGUAGCUAGGGUUCCAGAGCUAGUUACAAUACUCGAAGAAAAAGAUGAUGCCCGAUCCGAUGCGAGAGCUACUUAAGGGCAGGCAAUGACCGACGGUAAAGGUGACGGCAGUUAACUGAAGCGCAGUGAACAGGCUUCAGCUAACUGUUAAAUUUGUCGGACGGUAAACAGAGGAGCUGAGCGGCGACGUGAGCCGUUGAUCUGGCGAGCUUCAAUUGUGGCCGUCCAUCGAAUCGUUCUCUUCCCUGCGCCGUUUCUUCAGUCCGUGUCGCUGUCGAUUUCUUCAGUUAUCUUCAGGUUCAGAUUAGUAGAAGGGUCGUGAGUCUGACACCGAGUCCAUCUCGAUCGACCGUCUCCUGGUCUAGACUCUCGUUCACUCCCCAUGGCCGGAGAAGACCCACUCCGCCGGGACACCGGACUCCUCCCUUUCAACUCGGACUAUACAACUCCGACACCAACCCCCUACUCGAGGAACACGGAGGAAGAUGCUAUAAAGGCCUGCCGAUCCCCUCAACUUCCUCCUCACAUCGCACCACGAGAUCAAGGAUCCAAGGAUCGUUUACCCACUUUCCAAGGAAAACAAUCGAAUCGAGACAAACUCGCGUCUCAUCCCAUGGCGAGCCAGGGCGACGCGAGCGGGAAGAAGGACUACUCCACGGCGAUCCUGGAGAGGAAGAAGUCGCCGAACCGGCUGGUGGUCGACGAGGCGACCAACGACGAGAACUCCACCGUCGCCCUGCACCCGAACACCAUGGACAGCCUCGAGCUCUUCCACGGCGACAUCGUCCUGCUCAAGGGCAAGAAGCGAAAGGACACGGUCUGCAUUCUACUCCCAGACGACACGUGCGACAAGACCAAGGUCCGGAUGAACAAGGUCGUCCGGAAGAACCUGAGGGUCCGGCUCGGCGACGUCGUCUCCGUCCAUCAGUGCCCGGACGUCAAAUACGGGAAGCGCGUCCACGUACUCCCCGUCGACGACAUCGUCCAAGGGAUCGCCGGAAACCUGUUCGACGCCUUCCUGAGACCCUACUUCCUCGAGGCCUAUCGUCCCCUCAGGAAAGGAGACCUGUUCCUGGUGAGAGGCGGCAUGACGAGCGUGGAGUUCAAGGUUGUGGAGACCGACCCCGCGGAGUACUGCAUCGUCGCGUCUGACACGGAGAUAUUCUGUGACGGCGAGCCUGUCAAGCGGGAGGAUGAGGAGAGACUCGACGACGUAGGCUACGACGAUGUCGGUGGGGUCAGGAAGCAGAUGGCCCAGAUCAGAGAGCUGGUUGAGCUCCCACUGCGCCACCCCCAGCUGUUCAAGUGCAUCGGUGUGAAGCCUCCAAAGGGCAUCUUGCUGUAUGGGCCACCUGGGACCGGCAAGACCCUCAUUGCUAGAGCUGUGGCCAAUGAAACAGGGGCCUUCUUCUUCCUGAUCAAUGGCCCGGAGAUCAUGUCGAAGAUGGCCGGAGAGAGCGAGAGCAACCUCAGGAAGGCGUUUGAAGAGGCCGAGAAGAAUGCUCCGGCCAUCAUCUUCAUCGAUGAGAUCGAUUCCAUAGCACCAAAGAGAGACAAGACCAACGGAGAAGUCGAAAGGCGUAUCGUCUCACAGCUGCUCACUCUCAUGGAUGGGCUUAAGUCCCGUGCACAUGUUAUUGUCAUGGGCGCUACCAACCGCCCGAAUAGCAUCGACCCUGCUCUCAGAAGGUUUGGCAGGUUUGACCGGGAGAUCGACAUCGGAGUCCCCGAUGAAGUUGGGCGGCUUGAGGUUCUCCGGAUUCACACCAAAAACAUGAAGCUAGCUGAAGAUGUUGAACUGGAGCAUGUCUCAAGGGACACUCAUGGGUAUGUCGGCGCUGAUCUCGCCGCCCUUUGUACCGAGGCUGCUCUCCAGUGCAUUCGCGAGAAGAUGGAUGUUAUCGACCUCGAGGAUGACACCAUUGAUGCUGAGAUACUAAAUUCUAUGGCUGUCACGAAUGACCAUUUCAAGAUUGCACUGGGGACAAGCAACCCUUCCGCUCUUCGUCAAACUGUCGUGGAAGUUCCAAAUGUCUCUUGGGAAGACGUUGGUGGUCUGGAGGGUGUCAAAAGGGAGCUGCAGGAGACCGUCCAGUAUCCGGUGGAAUACCCAGAGAAGUUUGAGAAGUUUGGCAUGUCUCCCUCCAAAGGUGUUCUGUUCUACGGCCCUCCGGGCUGCGGCAAGACCUUGUUGGCCAAGGCGAUUGCUAACGAGUGCCAGGCUAACUUCAUCAGCAUCAAAGGACCGGAGCUGCUUACCAUGUGGUUUGGUGAGAGCGAGGCCAAUGUGCGCGAGAUUUUCGACAAGGCCAGGGGGUCGGCACCAUGUGUCCUCUUCUUCGAUGAGCUCGACUCGAUUGCCACGCAGAGAGGAAACAGUGUAGGCGAUGCCGGAGGUGCCGCUGAUAGGGUGCUGAAUCAGCUUCUCACCGAGAUGGACGGAAUGAAUGCCAAGAAAACCGUGUUCAUCAUCGGUGCCACCAACAGGCCAGACAUCAUAGACCCUGCCUUGCUGAGGCCUGGGCGCCUUGAUCAGCUUAUCUACAUUCCUCUGCCCGACAUUGAAUCCAGGCUCCAGAUCUUCAGGGCCUGCCUCAGGAAGUCUCCUGUGGCCAAGGAUGUCGACCUGAAUGCGCUCGCCAAAUACACACAAGGGUUCAGCGGCGCGGACAUCACGGAAAUCUGCCAGCGUGCGUGCAAAUAUGCCAUCAGAGAAAACAUUGAGAAGGACAUGGAAAAGGAGAGGCGGCUGAAGGAAAACCCUGAAGCCAUGGAGGAAGACGAGAUGGAUGAGAUCAAGGCUGCUCACUUCGAGGAGAGCAUGAGGUAUGCACGCCGGAGUGUGAGCGAUGCUGAUAUUCGCAAAUACCAGGCCUUUGCUCAGACGCUGCAGCAGUCCCGUGGUUUUGGCAGCGAGUUCCGGUUCCCUGACCAGCCGGCGGCGGGUGCUACAGCUGCGGCCAAUCCUUUCGCGGCCGCUGCCACGGCAGCUGAAGAAGAUGAUUUGUACAGUUAAAUCGUGUGUUGUCUCUUGAAGAUCAUGUAACUAUAUUUUUACGUGCAGUGUUGUGAUGUGUAUAUAUGCUGAAGUUUGAAGAUUGUAUCCUCCACCUAAAAGAAAGAAAAAACCAUUUCCUCUCGUCUCCUAUUCCAGUUUGUGUGCCAAGGAUAUAUCCAUUGGCCUGUGGUAAAGUUAUGUUGUUCUGUACAUGCCCUAUCAAAGGGUAAUAGCAAUUUAGCAUUAUACGCGGUGCCAUUUUUCUCUUUGAAAUGUACUAAUUCGAUUCCUUCUCCUACCUAAUAAAUCUUCUGUCAUAUAAUGCUAAAUAAACCUUCUGUCGCACUACACAUUUUGUUGUUGCAAAUGAUUACCUCUACUGAGAAGUAAGAAAUACCCCAGCCUCUCUCGAAUGUUGGCAAAUUAGUUCAGCAUUACCUAAAAGUCUCUACAAUGCACGAGUAUCAAAUUUUUGGAUUCUCUGACAAAGUAACCGAAAUAAUUUGCAAGGCAGUAGAUUAUUCAUGUUGGUAUUAAUUAGUUAGUUAUUCACAUAAGAUCCUUUGGCAUCUGCUGUCGCGUCAGCGGAAGAAGACGAUGAUUUAUACUACAGUUGAAUUUUCUGUUGUGCCAUGAGCUUACUCUUAAGAAACACAAACCUUUGAUGUCCUACUGUCUAGUGUCCACGAGUAGAGUCCAAUCAGUGUGCCAGGUAUCGGCAUGUGGUAAUUGUUGUCCCUGUAGAUAGUACCUUUGCUGCUCCCUUAGAUGCUCAGUAUUGGCUUGUUUACUCCGAUCCAUUCACAAUCAACAUUGCUCCACCAUUUCUGAUGUGUGGGUGGGAUGACCAUGCUCUCAAGCUUUAACUUUGGAAGGACUUUUACCCCAGCUGUGAUGGAUUUUUGGUAUGAGGUAGAGCAGAUUGCCUCCAGCAUUAACAAGGUCAAGGGCAUGGCUGCCCAGAAAUAUCUGGCAAUAUACCGACAGCGGAUUUACUCAACCAUGGUUUAGCAUUAUACCUGAAAGUCUCUACAAUGCACGGAUAUCAAAUUUUCGGUUCUCCAACAAAGUAACCGAAAUAAUUUGCAAGGCAGUAGAUUAUUCAUGUUGAUAUUAAUUAGUUAUUCACUGCAAGGCUCAGACCAUGGACAAUCUGAGAAGGGGAAACAUGAAUAAAGCAGAGGAUGUUCAGAAACUGAAACUGUGCAUCUAUCACCUACAAACCUUUUCCUAUUUCUGUCGUUCUUCCGUUCCUACGUUUUUAUAUCCUCUAUUCCGAACAGGGCCUUGGAUAUGUUUUCUCUGCUAGCUUACAUUCAAAUCUGUUGUGCUAUCUGAUCGGCCUAUUAACCAACUGUGUUGCUGAUAACUCCCAUCCAUGACUUUUUCUAUAUCUCCACAAUUUGUUGCUUGUUUUGCUGUCAUCCUGAUUUUUCCUCCAGACCAGAAAGGGUGAC
RNAcentral lists this long non-coding RNA (5542 nucleotides) under Triticum aestivum (bread wheat). RNAcentral's name for it is "long non-coding RNA (TAES_LNC006316)". The record is from RNAcentral. Lineage: Eukaryota; Viridiplantae; Streptophyta; Magnoliopsida; Poales; Poaceae.